This 239-nucleotide long non-coding RNA is filed under the name Lathyrus oleraceus (garden pea). RNAcentral describes it as "Pisum sativum (pea) long non-coding RNA (PSAT_LNC041653)". The record is from RNAcentral. Lineage: Eukaryota; Viridiplantae; Streptophyta; Magnoliopsida; Fabales; Fabaceae.
UUCGUAUCAUUUCAUUUGAUCAUUUGCUUUAUUUUGUUAUUCCAUCUAAAACGAACAAAAACAUAAUAAAAUGGAAAAGACUAAAAAGAUUUAAUGUAGACUUGAUGUUUGAUAUUUGCAUUAGACAUGAAGUAUUAUGAACCAUAUGUAAUUUUGUGUAUGACCAAAGCUUGGAGACUUGGAGGACUUGUUAGUACCUUGCAUUUGUACUUCGACUUUUGUGAUUGACCUAUGCAAUU